CGCAUCUGUGCAUGCAGCAUAUCAAUAAGCGGAGGAAAAGAAACUAACAAGGAUUCCCCUAGUAACGGCGAGUGAAGCGGGAAGAGCUCAAAUUUGAAAUCUUAAAGGGUUUCCCUUUACGAAUUGUAGUUUAAAGAAGUGUUUUCUGUUGAGGUUUUGGUAAAAGUUCUUUGGAAUAGGACAUCAUAGAGGGUGAGAAUCCCGUAUUUGACCUUUACUUUCAACUUUGUGAUACACUUUCAAAGAGUCGGAUUGUUUGGGAAUGCAGUCCAAAAUGGGUGGUAAAUUUCAUCUAAAGCUAAAUAUUGGCGAGAGACCGAUAGCGAACAAGUACCGUGAGGGAAAGAUGAAAAGAACUUUGAAAAGAGAGUUAAACAGUACGUGAAGUUGUCAAAAGGGAAGCGUUUGACACCAGUGUUGUUUUUCUGAAAAUCAAUUAAAGAACUGUUUAUGCUAAGCUGUUUAGACUUUAUCAGCUAACUGUUUAGUUUUGAGCUUUUCUUUAAUGCACUUUUCAGUUAACAAGUCAACAUCAAUUUCUUUUGCUGUAAAAAAGCUUGAGGAAGGUGGCUUGAGAUUCGUCUUAAGUGUUUAUAGCCUCUUGCCUAUGCAGUCGGAGAGAUUGAGGUCUGCAGCGUAGAUCCUUCGGGGCUAAAUGCAUUUGUGCUAAGUUAUAGCAUUUUAUAGACAACUUGUUGACUAUGAUUUGUCUUGUAGCUUACUCGCUUAUGUUAUUUUACCUACGCUUAGGAUGUUGACUGAUAUGUAGUCGUA
Molecule: ribosomal RNA, 774 nt
Filed under: uncultured Neocallimastigales
Lineage: Eukaryota; Fungi; Neocallimastigomycota; Neocallimastigomycetes; Neocallimastigales
Description: partial large subunit ribosomal RNA
Rfam family: Eukaryotic large subunit ribosomal RNA
Source: RNAcentral